RNAcentral lists this unclassified non-coding RNA (244 nucleotides) under uncultured fungus. RNAcentral describes it as "partial contains 5.8S ribosomal RNA, internal transcribed spacer 2, and large subunit ribosomal RNA". The stretch from base 1 to 52 matches the Rfam family "5.8S ribosomal RNA", at positions 103 to 154 of the family's 154-position model. Lineage: Eukaryota; Fungi. The record is from RNAcentral.
AACGCACAUUGCGCUCCCUGGUAUUCCGGGGAGCAUGCCUGUUCGAGCGUCAUUAUCAACCAUCAAGCCCUGCUUGGUAUUGGGUGUCGUCCCUGCUGUGGACGCGCCCUAAAGUAAUCGGCGGUGGUGUUGAACCUCAAGCGUAGUAAAUCUCCAGCUUUUUAGGUGAGACGCCGCUCGGCCUCUAGAAACCCCAUAUUCUAAGGUUGACCUCGGAUCAGGUAGGGAUACCCGCUGAACUUAA